ACUGACGCUAGAGAUGAUAGAUCUUACUUACAUGCACCGCUACCUCACCAGUCGAUAGAUCCGAUUGAAUCUAGCUCAUCUUCUGAUAAGGAGAAUCGAAGUCAUGCACCUGCACAUCUAUCUCACCACUCACCGUUUCUAGAUCCGAUUGAAUCUAGCCUAUCUUCUGAUGAGGAGAAUCAAAUUCAUGCACCUGCACAGUCCUUGGUUAUAGAUCCAAUUGAUGAGGAGGAGAAUCAAAGUCAUGCACCAGCCUCUGAGAAUGCUGAAAUACAGAAGAUGAAG
RNAcentral lists this unclassified non-coding RNA (285 nucleotides) under Hevea brasiliensis (rubber tree). Lineage: Eukaryota; Viridiplantae; Streptophyta; Magnoliopsida; Malpighiales; Euphorbiaceae. The record is from RNAcentral.